UUCCGGUUGAUCCUGCCAGAGGUUACUGCUAUCGGGGUUCGAUUAAGCCAUGCGAGUCAAAUGUUCUUCGUGAACAUGGCGAACUGCUCAGUAACACGUGGAUAAUCUACCCUUAGGUCUGGAAUAACCCCGGGAAACUGGGGAUAAUACCGGAUAGAUCAUAGAUGCUGGAAUGCCCUAUGGUCUAAAGCUCCGGCGCCUAAGGAUGAGUCUGCGGUCUAUCAGGUUGUAGUGGGUGUAACGUACCUACUAGCCGACGACGGAUACGGGUUGUGAGAGCAAGAGCCCGGAGAUGGAUUCUGAGACACGAAUCCAGGCCCUACGGGGUGCAGCAGGCGCGAACACUUUACAAUGCGGGAAACCGCGAUAAGGGAACCCCGAGUGCCAGCACCAAGUGUUGGCUGUCCAGAUGAUUAAAUCUCAUUUGUUAGCAAGGGCCGGGCAAGACCGGUGCCAGCCGCCGCGGUAACACCGGCGGCCCGAGUGGUAACCGUUUUUAUUGGGUCUAAAGGGUCCGUAGCCGGUCUGAUAAGUCUUUUGGGAAAUCUGGCAGCUUAACUGUCAGGCUUCUAAGAGAUACUGUCAGGCUUGGGACCGGGAGAGGUAAGGGGUACUCCAAGGGUAGGAGUGAAAUCUUGUAAUCCUUGGGGGACCAUCUGUGGCGAAGGCGCCUUACCAGAACGGGUCCGACGGUGAGGGACGAAAGCUAGGGGAGCAAACCGGAUUAGAUACCCGGGUAGUCCUAGCUGUAAACGAUGCUCGCUAGGUGUCAGGCACGGUGCGUCCGUGUUUGGUGCCGUAGGGAAGCCGAGAAGCGAGCCACCUGGGAAGUACGGUCGCAAGGCUGAAACUUAAAGGAAUUGGCGGGGGAGCACUACAACGGGUGGAGCCUGCGGUUUAAUUGGAUUCAACGCCGGG
RNAcentral lists this ribosomal RNA (918 nucleotides) under uncultured archaeon. Its description in RNAcentral is "bacterial SSU rRNA". It matches the Rfam family "Archaeal small subunit ribosomal RNA", at positions 1 to 922 of the family's 1478-position model. The record is from RNAcentral.